AUGAAGGUAAACCAGGAUCCCGGUUUUAACCCUGCAACACACCAGUCUCCUGAUCUUGAGUAUUUGAGCCCAAGUGGUGGAGGAAGGAGAAUGUGGAUUCUGGAAUUAGGAAGACUUGGGUUCAAUGUCACCUUCUACCAUUUAACAACUGCUGAGGUUAGUUUCCUAUACUCUUUGAGUCCCAGACCCUUAUCUCUAAAAUUGAGAAUAAUAAUAUCUACCUCACAGGAUUAUUAAGAAUGCUAAUUGAGAUUAAAUAUGUAAAGUACAUGGCACAAAAUGCUCAAUAAAUAUUAGUACUAUUUAAUUUAGCCUAAGGGUCUUGCUAGGAUUUUAGAGAUGCUUUCCUGCCUCUUACUGGCUCUAUUGUUUACAUAAUUAUCUCUUUAUUUUUCCUUUUCUCUAAAAUUUUAUUAAUAUUUCAGUAAAUCUUUCUUAUAUUGAGAACAAUUUCUUAUAUAAAGUGGAACAUAUUGGGGGGAACUUUUCAGUAGCCACCUCAUAGGCUAAAGAAACAAAAAAGAUAGAUGUUUUACAUGUUUUUAUUCUGUUGAUGAGCCCCUGAGAAGAUUGUUCCGGGUUCUGACACAGUCUCAUCCAGGACCAAGAUGGUUUUCUUCACUUUCCAACCCAGUGAUCUUUUAGUUUUAAUGUAAGUAAAUCUAAGCAUUGAAGUACAGCAUUUCCAACAUAAUCGUUUUUGUACAUUUAAUAUUUUAGCUCAUGCAGAAAGGGGAGUUUCUGGAAAACCAUGCCUAAAGUGACCAUCUAUUGUAAUCCUUGGAGAGUGUAACAAUAAAAAUUGUGUUGAACAUUUAUGUAAAGCUUCUGGAAGGAGACAGGAAAGACAUCCUUAACCAACUUAAUAGAACUUUCACUUUUAAGGAACUGCAGUGCAGGUGAUUAGUAAAAAUGGGCCCUGAUACAAAGUCAGCUUAGGGUCCACUGGAUACUGCAACAAAGGACUUUUAUUGUUUCUUCUUGAGUAGGGAAACAGAUUUCCCUAAUCAAAGACCAGAUUCUUUCUUAGCAGUAAGGGAAAGAAAGUAGGUAAUACUUUUU
Molecule: long non-coding RNA, 1062 nt
Filed under: Papio anubis (olive baboon)
Lineage: Eukaryota; Metazoa; Chordata; Mammalia; Primates; Cercopithecidae
Description: lncRNA (ENSPANG00000047768.1)
Source: RNAcentral